CCAAUAGCGUAUAUUAAAGUUGUUGCAGUUAAAAAGCUCGUAGUUGAAUUUCGAGAUCAAAUUGUUGGUCGUGCCUCGGUACGUACUGGCAUUAUUGAUUUCUCCCUUCUGAAGAACCACGAUGUCAUUAAUUUGGUGUCGUGGGGAAUCAGGACUGUUACUUUGAAAAAAUUAGAGUGUUUAAAGCAGGCUCACGCUUGAAUACAUUAGCAUGGAAUAAUGAAAUAGGACGUUUGAUUCUAUUUUGUUGGUUUCUAGGAUCGACGUAAUGAUUAAUAGGGAUAGUUGGGGGCAUUAGUAUUCAAUUGUCAGAGGUGAAAUUCUUGGAUUUAUUGAAGACUAACUACUGCGAAAGCAUUUGCCAAGGAUGUUUCCAUUAAUCAAGAACGAAAGUUAGGGGAUCGAAGACGAUCAGAUACCGUCGUAGUCUUAACCAUAAACUAUGCCGACUAGGGAUCGGAUGAUGUUAAUUUUUUAAUGACUCAUUCGGCGCCUUACG
RNAcentral lists this ribosomal RNA (499 nucleotides) under uncultured Glomeromycotina. RNAcentral's name for it is "partial small subunit ribosomal RNA". It matches the Rfam family "Eukaryotic small subunit ribosomal RNA", at positions 591 to 1092 of the family's 1831-position model. The record is from RNAcentral. Lineage: Eukaryota; Fungi; Glomeromycota.